UAUGUUCUUUUCCGCGAAAAGGGAGAGAGAAUCAACCCCAAACCCUCUCCUUGUCCAUCAAUAGAGAAGAAUCAAAAUUCAAACCCCUUAAUUCUCCCUAUGUGGGCAGCAACUUAGAAGGAGAAGAAGUAAUUAGAGAUGAAGAGAAGUCACGAGAAUGGAAGCUUGGAAUUGUAGAGAUCAAAGUCAAUUUGGAAAUUUCAUCAAUCUCUUCUUAAGAGAGCCUAAGGUAUAGAAGUGCACAUUGGAUGAUUGAGGAGUAUUUAUAGCUCGUCAUCCAUCCAUGUCUCAGUCCGAAUCGGAUCACGUCGAGAGUUAGAGUUUUAGGACUUGAUGUCAUGUGUUAUUGUAAAAUUUCAUUUUUUUUAGUUGUAAACUUUUCGAUAAAGUUUUUAAAGACAUUUAAAGUUCCUAUUGAGAAAA
Long non-coding RNA from Medicago truncatula (barrel medic), 423 nucleotides. RefSeq lists it as uncharacterized. Lineage: Eukaryota; Viridiplantae; Streptophyta; Magnoliopsida; Fabales; Fabaceae. The record is from RefSeq and is a predicted model, not a curated record. The transcript has 2 exons.